UUUUAUGAGAGUUUGAUCCUGGCUCAGGACGAACGCUGGCGGCGUGCCUAAUACAUGCAAGUCGAACGCUUCUUUUUCCACCGGAGCUUGCUCCACCGGAAAAAGAGGAGUGGCGAACGGGUGAGUAACACGUGGGUAACCUGCCCAUCAGAAGGGGAUAACACUUGGAAACAGGUGCUAAUACCGUAUAACAAUCAAAACCGCAUGGUUUUGAUUUGAAAGGCGCUUUCGGGUGUCGCUGAUGGAUGGACCCGCGGUGCAUUAGCUAGUUGGUGAGGUAACGGCUCACCAAGGCCACGAUGCAUAGCCGACCUGAGAGGGUGAUCGGCCACAUUGGGACUGAGACACGGCCCAAACUCCUACGGGAGGCAGCAGUAGGGAAUCUUCGGCAAUGGACGAAAGUCUGACCGAGCAACGCCGCGUGAGUGAAGAAGGUUUUCGGAUCGUAAAACUCUGUUGUUAGAGAAGAACAAGGAUGAGAGUAACUGUUCAUCCCUUGACGGUAUCUAACCAGAAAGCCACGGCUAACUACGUGCCAGCAGCCGCGGUAAUACGUAGGUGGCAAGCGUUGUCCGGAUUUAUUGGGCGUAAAGCGAGCGCAGGCGGUUUCUUAAGUCUGAUGUGAAAGCCCCCGGCUCAACCGGGGAGGGUCAUUGGAAACUGGGAGACUUGAGUGCAGAAGA
RNAcentral lists this ribosomal RNA (683 nucleotides) under Enterococcus faecium. Its description in RNAcentral is "bacterial SSU rRNA". It matches the Rfam family "Bacterial small subunit ribosomal RNA", at positions 1 to 655 of the family's 1533-position model. Lineage: Bacteria; Bacillati; Bacillota; Bacilli; Lactobacillales; Enterococcaceae. The record is from RNAcentral.